Molecule: ribosomal RNA, 2889 nt
Filed under: Acinetobacter baumannii 846928
Lineage: Bacteria; Pseudomonadati; Pseudomonadota; Gammaproteobacteria; Moraxellales; Moraxellaceae
Description: bacterial LSU rRNA
Rfam family: Bacterial large subunit ribosomal RNA
Source: RNAcentral
CAAGUAAUUAAGUGCAUGUGGUGGAUGCCUUGGCAGUCAGAGGCGAUGAAAGACGUGAUAGCCUGCGAAAAGCUCCGGGGAGGCGGCAAAUAUCCUUUGAUCCGGAGAUGUCUGAAUGGGGGAACCCACCUACUUUAAGGUAGGUAUUGCAACAUGAAUACAUAGUGUUGCAAGGCGAACGAGGGGAAGUGAAACAUCUCAGUACCCUUAGGAAAAGAAAUCAAUUGAGAUUCCCUCAGUAGCGGCGAGCGAACGGGGAUCAGCCCAUUAAGUUAUGUGUGUUUUAGUGGAACGCUCUGGGAAGUGCGAACGUAGAGGGUGAUAUUCCCGUACACGAAAGGGCACACAUGAUGAUGACGAGUAGGGCGAGGCACGUGAAACCUUGUCUGAAUAUGGGGGGACCAUCCUCCAAGGCUAAAUACUCCUGACUGACCGAUAGUGAACCAGUACCGUGAGGGAAAGGCGAAAAGAACCCCUGUGAGGGGAGUGAAAUAGAUCCUGAAACCGCAUGCAUACAAGCAGUGGGAGCACCUUCGUGGUGUGACUGCGUACCUUUUGUAUAAUGGGUCAGCGACUUAUAUUCAGUAGCGAGGUUAACCGUAUAGGGGAGCCGUAGAGAAAUCGAGUCUUAAUAGGGCGUUUAGUUGCUGGGUAUAGACCCGAAACCAGGCGAUCUAUCCAUGAGCAGGUUGAAGGUUGGGUAACACUAACUGGAGGACCGAACCCACUGUCGUUGAAAAGCCAGGGGAUGACUUGUGGAUAGGGGUGAAAGGCUAAUCAAGCCUGGUGAUAGCUGGUUCUCCCCGAAAGCUAUUUAGGUAGCGCCUCGGACGAAUACCAUAGGGGGUAGAGCACUGUUUCGGCUAGGGGGUCAUCCCGACUUACCAAACCGAUGCAAACUCCGAAUACCUAUGAGUACUAUCCGGGAGACAGACUGCGGGUGCUAACGUCCGUAGUCAAGAGGAAAACAAUCCAGACCGCCAGCUAAGGCCCCAAAAUCAUAGUUAAGUGGGAAACGAUGUGGGAAGGCAUAGACAGCUAGGAGGUUGGCUUAGAAGCAGCCACCCUUUAAAGAAAGCGUAAUAGCUCACUAGUCGAGUCGGCCUGCGCGGAAGAUGUAACGGGGCUAAAACUAUGUGCCGAAGCUGCGGAUGUAUACUUUGUAUACGUGGUAGGGGAGCGUUCUGUAAGCCGAUGAAGGUGUGUUGAGAAGCAUGCUGGAGGUAUCAGAAGUGCGAAUGCUGACGUGAGUAACGACAAAACGGGUGAAAAACCCGUUCGCCGAAAGACCAAGGGUUCCAGUCCAACGUUAAUCGGGGCUGGGUGAGUCGACCCCUAAGGCGAGGCCGAAAGGCGUAGUCGAUGGGAAAAUGGUUAAUAUUCCAUUACUUCUGUGUAAUGCGAUGAGAGGACGGAGAAGGCUAAAUCAGCCUGGCGUUGGUUGUCCAGGUGAAAGGAUGUAGGCAUGUAUCUUAGGCAAAUCCGGGGUACUCUAUGCUGAGAUCUGAUAGCAAGCUGUACUUGUACAGCGAAGUGGUUGAUGCCAUGCUUCCAGGAAAAGUCUCUAAGCUUCAGUUACACAGGAAUCGUACCCGAAACCGACACAGGUGGUCAGGUCGAGUAGACCAAGGCGCUUGAGAGAACUCUGCUGAAGGAACUAGGCAAAAUGGUACCGUAACUUCGGGAGAAGGUACGCUGUUGUUGGUGAUGGAACUCGCUUCCUGAGCUGACGACAGCCGCAGAAACCAGGCCGCUGCAACUGUUUAUUAAAAACAUAGCACUCUGCAAACACGAAAGUGGACGUAUAGGGUGUGAUGCCUGCCCGGUGCUGGAAGGUUAAUUGAUGGGGUUAGCGUAAGCGAAGCUCUUGAUCGAAGCCCCAGUAAACGGCGGCCGUAACUAUAACGGUCCUAAGGUAGCGAAAUUCCUUGUCGGGUAAGUUCCGACCUGCACGAAUGGCAUAAUGAUGGCGGCGCUGUCUCCAGCAGAGGCUCAGUGAAAUCGAAAUCGCUGUGAAGAUGCAGUGUACCCGCGGCUAGACGGAAAGACCCCGUGAACCUUUACUGCAGCUUGACACUGAACUUUGACCUUACUUGUGUAGGAUAGGUGGGAGGCUUUGAAGCUGGAACGCUAGUUCCAGUGGAGCCGUCCUUGAAAUACCACCCUGGUAAUGUUGAGGUUCUAACUCUGUCCCGUGAUCCGGGACGAGGACCGUGUCUGGUGGGUAGUUUGACUGGGGCGGUCUCCUCCUAAAGAGUAACGGAGGAGUACGAAGGUGCGCUCAGCGUGGUCGGAAAUCACGCGUAGAGUAUAAAGGCAAAAGCGCGCUUAACUGCGAGACCCACAAGUCGAGCAGGUACGAAAGUAGGUCUUAGUGAUCCGGUGGUUCUGUAUGGAAGGGCCAUCGCUCAACGGAUAAAAGGUACUCUGGGGAUAACAGGCUGAUACCGCCCAAGAGUUCAUAUCGACGGCGGUGUUUGGCACCUCGAUGUCGGCUCAUCUCAUCCUGGGGCUGAAGCAGGUCCCAAGGGUAUGGCUGUUCGCCAUUUAAAGAGGUACGCGAGCUGGGUUUAGAACGUCGUGAGACAGUUCGGUCCCUAUCUACCGUGGGCGCUGGAAAUUUGAGAGGAUCUGCUCCUAGUACGAGAGGACCAGAGUGGACGAACCUCUGGUGUACCGGUUGUGACGCCAGUCGCAUCGCCGGGUAGCUAUGUUCGGAAGGGAUAACCGCUGAAAGCAUCUAAGCGGGAAGCCUACCUCAAGAUAAGAUUUCCCUAGGACUUUAUGUCCUCUAAAGAGCCGUUCGAGACUAGGACGUUGAUAGGUUGGAUGUGGAAGCAUAGUGAUAUGUGAAGCUGACCAAUACUAAUUGCUCGUGAGGCUUGACUA